UGGGGAAUAUUGCACAAUGGGCGAAAGCCUGAUGCAGCAACGCCGCGUGAGCGAUGAAGGCCUUUGGGUCGUAAAGCUCUGUCCUUGGGGAAGAAAAAAAUGACGGUACCCUUGGAGGAAGCCCCGGCUAACUACGUGCCAGCAGCCGCGGUAAUACGUAGGGGGCAAGCGUUGUCCGGAUUUACUGGGUGUAAAGGGUGCUCAGGCGGAUUUGUAAGUCAGGGGUGAAAUCUUACAGCUUAACUGUGAAACUGCCUUUGAUACUGCAAGCCUAGAGUAUGGAAGAGAGUGAUGGAAUAUCUGGUGUAGCAGUGAAAUGCGUAGAUAUCAGAUAGAACACCAAUGGCGAAGGCAGUCACUUGGUCCAUUACUGACGCUAAAGCACGAAAGCGUGGGUAGCAAACA
This 405-nucleotide ribosomal RNA is filed under the name uncultured bacterium. Its description in RNAcentral is "bacterial SSU rRNA". It matches the Rfam family "Bacterial small subunit ribosomal RNA", at positions 355 to 774 of the family's 1533-position model. The record is from RNAcentral.